RNAcentral lists this ribosomal RNA (499 nucleotides) under uncultured marine picoplankton. RNAcentral describes it as "SSU rRNA". It matches the Rfam family "Eukaryotic small subunit ribosomal RNA", at positions 594 to 1107 of the family's 1831-position model. The record is from RNAcentral.
CUAGCGUAUAUUAAAGUUGUUGCAGUUAAAAAGCUCGUAGUUGGAUUUCUGGGAGGGUGCCAAUGUCCGUCGUCGUACGUGUUGCAGCGGCGCCCUUCCAUCCUUCUGUUAACGACUUUGGGCAUUCACUUGCCGGAGUCGGGCUCAGAUAUUUUACCUUGGGAAAAUUAGAGUGUUUCAGGCAGGCUAGGCCGGAAUACAUUAGCAUGGAAUAAUGGAAUAGGACUACGGUCUCUUUGUUGGUUUGAGGGACUGCAGUAAUGAUUAAUAGGGAUAGUUGGGGGCAUUAGUAUUUAAUUGUCAGAGGUGGAAUUCUCGGAUUUGUUAAAGACUAACUUAUGCGAAAGCAUUUGCCAAGGAUGUUUUCAUUAAUCAAGAACGAAAGUUAGGGGAUCAAAGACGAUCAGAUACCGUCCUAGUCUUAACCAUAAACUAUGCCGACUCGGGAUUGGGGGCGUGUUCUAUCCGCCUUCAGCACCGUAUGAGAAAUCAAAGUCUU